Molecule: ribosomal RNA, 502 nt
Filed under: Dacus absonifacies
Lineage: Eukaryota; Metazoa; Arthropoda; Insecta; Diptera; Tephritidae
Description: partial large subunit ribosomal RNA
Rfam family: Bacterial large subunit ribosomal RNA
Source: RNAcentral
CCUGUUUAACAAAAACAUGUCUUUUUGAGUUAUUUUUAAAGUCUGACCUGCCCGAUGAAGUUUUAAAUGGCCGCAGUAUUUUAACUGUGCAAAGGUAGCAUAAUCAUUAGUCUUUUAAUUGGAGGCUGGUAUGAACGGUUGGACGAGGUAUAUACUGUUUCAUAUAAAUUUAUAAUAGAAUUUUAUUUUUUAGUUAAAAAGCUAAAAUAGUAUUAAAAGACGAGAAGACCCUAUAAAUCUUUAUAUUUAGUAUAACUUAAUUUUUUUAGGUUUUUUUUGUUUUUGUUAUAUUAAAUAUUUUGUUGGGGUGAUGUUAAAAUUUAAUGAACUUUUAAUUAUUUUUAAAUCAUUUAUUUAUGAGUUGUUGAUCCAUUACUAUUGAUUAUAAGAUUAAGUUACUUUAGGGAUAACAGCGUAAUUUUUUUGGAGAGUUCAUAUUGAUAAAAAAGUUUGCGACCUCGAUGUUGGAUUAAGAUAUAUUUUUAGGUGUAGUUGCUUAAAU